UCAAAUCUUCUGUCACAAUAAAGACAUUCAACACUUCCACCCUCCAUUUAACGCCUUACGGUGUUCACGUGUCUUAAGCUCCGCCCACGGACAUUUCAUUUAGACUCCACCCCUCACCUCACGUUGCUGAAAUGAAAAGCAGAUGGAAGAAGUUGACAAUUAGGAAUCAUUUUGCAUCAGUAGUGUUGCUGUGAGCUGAAUCGGCACUGCCUGUGCAACAUUUGGCAAAGUAAGUGAACGCUACGUUAUAUCUUCAUUAUACUGUCUUCAUUUUUAAUGAGCUAAUGGCUAACUAGCUAAUUGGCACGAGGAGCCCCCACACGUAGGCCUGCUGGCCCCCAGCAAAGGACUUGAUAUGCUGUACAACAUACAAGAUAUCAAGCAAACCUUUCCUUGAGUCUUACAUGAAUAUGACUCCACUAUCCCCAGCUUCACCCCAGUUAUCGCCAGUUGGUGGUGAGUCUCCACUCUUGCCUGCUCCAUCCCAUUCAUCAGGUUCGGCAAUUUAUCCUUCAGCCCACAAGAAAGAGGAACCCAACAGAACCAAUGGAUCAGGAUGAAGCAUGACAGUAUCUCAGAGGUUCCUGGCUAAGUGAUCAACCGUCUUCAAAGCAAAAGUCACUGCAGACUGCAAGACUCUCCCGCAAAAGCAGAACAUUGAUGAGUUGCUGUCAGGAACUGAACCUCAACCUGAUGACAGCUGUGGCUGGGGCAGUGAUACAUCCUCCAUCCUUCUACUCCUGCAUCUGCUCCCGCCGACUUUUAGAGGCCAGAAAAAAAACAAAACAGUAAAGAUCAGUUUGGCUCAAGCAGCCAACCAUCUUCUCAGACAUCUUAAGAAAAGAGCCAGUGUGACCCCCUUCCAAGACUGUUGACACAAGACAACCAUUUCUCCUCUGCAUCAGUGAGCAAAGGUGACAUCCAGAGGUUCUACAUUAUUGACCAAAAGCCGGUUCCAUGCAAGGCACAUACAUUUAUUGCAGCUUUUGAUGAACUGUUCAAAGCUCACUUUGUCUUCAGUCUCUCGUAUGGUUAAAAAUGGAUAAGAGCAAACAUUUGGGUCUGAAUGCUGCCCAGUCAUGGUGUCUUCUACGUAACACUCCACUUAUAUUUGAUGUUAUUGAAAGGAGAAUGAUCACUGGAACUUCCUCCUCCUUUUGAUGCAGAUUGUCAACAUAGUGUUCUCCUACACCAUAACUGAUGGAAUGAUCCUUUACUUGAAACAUCUGAUAAGUGACCACCACACUCGGUACAAAGCAUUGCUUCCUGGUAAGAAGUUGAUUCCCAAGCACCGCUUGAUGAUACUAUCCAAGAUGCAUACAAAACAUUGGCCCUCUUAUCCAUACGUGGUGCAUGUGUUUUUGAAGCCACACAAUUUUUUAAGGUGUGGUUAAAAUUUUUAAAAAUUUGUUGUUGUGGCCUUUCAUGAUGAAAAUUACUAUUUUAGAAGAUUUGAAUUUGGCCCUACAACAUCAAAAACAAUCUGCAAGUUGAAAAGUGGGGAGGAACGUGGUCAGGCAUGAUGUCUGCAAGCAUCUUCCAAGUGUGUCAAGUACCAACUGGGUGAGACGUUACGGUAUAGAGCACCAGGUUAGUUUGUUCACAUGUACUGGAUGUAGCUUUGAUCUACCUGUGUUCAAGAAGAUCUGUGAUAUAAUAAUACUAAAAGAAUGUGCUAUGAUGACCUGUUUAAUGUGUACUGCAUUGAAGACUAAAACGGUUGCGUUUUCUAUCAUUUGACAAGCAGUGCUCUAAUGACAAUUGUUAAAGAGCAUACGAAGUGCCCUAAUGUUGUU
Dunckerocampus dactyliophorus (ringed pipefish) is the source of this 1796-nucleotide long non-coding RNA. RefSeq lists it as uncharacterized. The transcript has 7 exons. The record is from RefSeq and is a predicted model, not a curated record. Lineage: Eukaryota; Metazoa; Chordata; Actinopteri; Syngnathiformes; Syngnathidae.